UGGCGCGGGAGCGAUUCCCGCGGGGACGCGGGCGCGGACGCGGGAAGCCGGGGCGGGGCGGCGCGGGCCGGCGCGCUCUCCGCGGGGCGCCCUUUUGUUGUGGGACACCGACCCGCGCCGGUCCCCGCGGAGCAGAUGGAGCCGGGGAAACGAUCCGCACGCGCGGGAUGCUGUGGCUGCCGCCCUGCCCCCCAGCAACCUGCGGCGGCGGAGUUGCCUGGACCUGCCGGGGCGGCUCCCCAGCACCCGGUGCCGGGUGACACGUGAACCCUGGUUACCACCUGGCCUGAGAGCAGAUGGCACGCCCGUUAGCCCUGGGAACAAGCCUGGAAGCCACACCAGCAGGCCUCUUGGAAAAGAAAAUCAAAAGCUGUUGAUUCCUUCCAGACUAAUAUGGUUUGAUCAAGCAAGACCCCCCUGAAGCUGAGACGAUACAGCCUUACAGACUACAAAAACAAGGACUUGGUCAGGUUUCUAUGUUUUAUCAUGAUCCCUGUGGUAUAUAAACA
RNAcentral lists this long non-coding RNA (509 nucleotides) under Cricetulus griseus (Chinese hamster). RNAcentral's name for it is "lncRNA (ENSCGRG00015041991.1)". The record is from RNAcentral. Lineage: Eukaryota; Metazoa; Chordata; Mammalia; Rodentia; Cricetidae.